AGGUUGUUUGACCCCCAAAGGGGUCUUGACCCACAGGUUGAGAACUAACCUAGAGGAAGAGCUAUUUACUUAUGUUUUUGUAGGAGAAAACUGAUGGACUCCCCUUAGGAGGAUGCAACCACGUUUGGAAAAAGAUGAAGGACAAGGAAAAGAUGAAGAACCUACUCAAUCUUAACCGUGAUUCUGUUUCCAGGUUGCUAACAGCGCACAGGGAGGAGUAUUUGUUUAUAUUUUUACAGGCAAAGGAGAUAGGUGGAGUUUUUUCUUCAGCCAGCAAGGCCCAGAAGAAAGGAAGCUGAUGCUGUGACCUGGGAGUUGAGAAAACAGCCAAGAGACCCCUGUCCUGUUGCUGAAGUUACCAAAAACGUCAAGAAGACCUCGCAAACUCAUGAGAGUAUGCUUGUUUGACUUCAGAUAUAUGGGGAAUAAAGACAUAGCAAGGUAAUUUCUGCUGUUUUCCUUCUCUUCCAACAGAGGGCAGUGUUAGCCACGCCAUGUAAGACCCAGGAAAAUCAGCACAUAACCAUUUAAUUAAAAUCUCUGAAAAUGUGGCGGGAAAUGUCAGCUGACACUAAGCAUUGACAUUAGGACAUUCAUGGUUUAUUGAAUGGUUCUUAACAUAAUAAAGUUUUAAUUUAAACCAGUGUAAACUUAAGUAAAUAUAUAUUUUAAAGUUUUCCAAAAGGGCUGAUUAGGCUGUUGAGCAGUAUUUCUAUCUUGUGAUAAGGAGAAUUUCUAUCUUGUGAGAUCUCAUCGCCCCUAGAACAGAUGCUGGUCUUUCUGGAAGGACUUGAGAAUAGGACAGCGCUCCAGGGAAGGCAGGAAUUUCUAAAAAAAAGGACAGCUGCAAGGCUGGUAACUUUGUCAACAAUCUAGAAAUACUGGGCAUCAGUUACUAAGGUAACUGGAAAUCCCCAACAGCAAUGGAGAGAUACAGUGCACAUUAUCCACUCCUUUUUCUUGUUUUGCUUUUUAAACCUUAGUGAAAUAAAUAUAUGAAGAAGUAUUUGAGGUACCCUAAGGCAAAGGUAACUCCUUUUCUUUUUUUAAAUCAAUUUAUUUUGGGGCUCAUACAACUCUUAUCACAUCCAUUGUCUGAAGCACACUGGACAGGCCUUUUCAAGAGGAUUUUUUGUAGGAUAGAGUUUAGCUAGGUAACCCCAAUACACUUUUGUUUAGUUCAAUUCCAGGGCACUUCCGAAAAUGAAAGAGUCUCUUGGAAUGGGAUUUCCUGUUUUGUCUCUGGAACAUCUCCUACUAGAUAGUUGAGAUGAAGAGUUCCAUGUUCCAUUGCUUUCCGCCACCUCUUGAAGCAGGUAUGGGCAUUGUCACAAUGAGCCUUAGCCACUGGUAUCCUGUCGACCAAUUUCGCUAUGUUUUCUAGAGGAAAAACGCUUUCUCUUCCGCAGUUCAUUAUAAAUUUUAUUUAAUGGUAAAUUUUAUUUACCAUUUACCAUUAUUCAUGGUAAAUUUUAUUUAAUGGAAUCGUAUCAUGAAAAGAAAAUAAACUUCAUAACUCUUACGACUAUUAAACAUUCAGGAUCCAAAUUUAACUCAAGGCCAGAAACAGAUUAAAAUGCCGCUUAUUUAUGAGUACUAAACUCCUGGAUUCCCGCCCCUCACCCUAUUUCCACACUGCGUGUUCAACACAGCUCACUGUCUUCUCUGACUCUUGUCCUUCCUCUCCUCCUGCAGAAGGACUGAAUCUCACCAGAGGAUGGGCCACUGAACUCUGGGGUUUUUGAAAAGAAGGGAAGUGAGAAGCUGUUAAGUUUCUUCAUUAUGGUCUUACAGUAUAAACAGUUUUAAAGAUACGGUGAAGGUUUUUUUCCAUUUCCAGUGGUAUUCCCCAUUUAAUCCUUGGAAUGAUGGAAUGCUGAGCAUAGGUGGGAGCCUGGUGAUUAUUACAUUUUAACUGGAAAGAAGCUAAGCUUGAGAUACAUUACUGUAGCACUCCCUUUCCUAACUGUAAUGUCUGUUACAGGGUGAAUGAGGCCUGGCUGUCUAAACACUUUGGAAUAGACCAAAAAUUGCAAACCCUGCAGAUCAGGAGUAAUGCAAGCCCGGCUUCAGCACCUGAGUAGCCUGGAAAGUUCAUUUACGCUUAAUCACAGUUGUGCAAUGACAGAAGCAGAUAUCUUCCACCAGGCACUUCUGAAAGGCAGCACUGCUACUGAAGUUUCCACCAGUACUAGAUACCAUAUCUUUUUUCACCCAGCGCUUCAAGAUCAUCUUUCCACAGCACCAAAAACUUCUGAAACAAGCCAUGAGUCUUCAGAAGUCCACACAGAAAGCAAUUGAAAAGCUUUUUCAGCAGUUCCUAAAGGUCCGUUGUAUUCCAUAGCAGUGUCCAUCUGCUGCCUUAAUACUAAACCUAUACCAUGUCUGAUGAGAGUACACGGGAACAA
Molecule: long non-coding RNA, 2408 nt
Organism: Echinops telfairi (small Madagascar hedgehog)
Lineage: Eukaryota; Metazoa; Chordata; Mammalia; Afrosoricida; Tenrecidae
Exons: 4
Source: RefSeq, a predicted model, not a curated record